This 269-nucleotide long non-coding RNA is filed under the name Elaeis guineensis (African oil palm). RNAcentral's name for it is "long non-coding RNA (EGUI_LNC009798)". Lineage: Eukaryota; Viridiplantae; Streptophyta; Magnoliopsida; Arecales; Arecaceae. The record is from RNAcentral.
UCAUCAAUCUCCGUGCCCACUUUCGACAUCCCUUCGAGAAGACUGGUCGCCCCUUCCGCUCGUCUUUUCCUUGCCGAAGCUCUUGAUGGAUGGUUGCUCGCAUCCUCUCCUUGUGCUUGCUCCACCAAUAUUUUUUCUAAUGAGGUCUCCUCGAGUGUGGCCAUCACGACUGUCGGCAAAGGAAUCACAGGCUCGAUGAUCGAAGUGAGAUUCUCAUCUCUUCCAACCUCAGAUUUCGAUAUGACGACUGAAACUUGGGUGUCACCCCU